RNAcentral lists this ribosomal RNA (1509 nucleotides) under bioreactor metagenome. RNAcentral's name for it is "bacterial LSU rRNA". It matches the Rfam family "Bacterial large subunit ribosomal RNA", at positions 574 to 2115 of the family's 2925-position model. The record is from RNAcentral.
UUAUAGCUCUGACGGAGUACAGAGCGAAGAUGGGCGACAGUAUUCCUAUUGAAGAAUGAGCCUGUGAGUAUGUGUAUGUUGCAAGCUUAAGGACUUAUGGUCCGAAGGCGUAGGGAAACCGAGUCUUAACCGGCGAUUAAGUAGCAUAUACAUAACCCGAAACUAGGUGAGCAAUCCAUGACCAGGUUGAAUCCCGACUAAUCUUGGGAAGAGGACCGAACCCACGUAUUGUGCAACAUACGGGGAUGAGUUGUGGAUAGCGGAGAAAUUCUAAUCGAACCUAGUAAUAGCUGGUUCUCCUCGAAAUAGUUUUAGGACUAGCUGUGUAUGUUUCCCAUGGUGGUAGAGCACUGGAAGAGAGUGGGGUCCGCAAGGAUACCCCUUUCUAUCAAACUCCGAAUACCAUGGAUUAAAAGUACGCAAGUCAGACUGUGGGGGCUAAGCUUCAUAGUCAAAAGGGAAACAGCCCAGAUCACAAACUAAGGUCCCUAAAUUAAUACUAAGUGUUAAAGGUGGUGUUAAUUCUCAUACAACCAGGAUGUUGGCUUGGAAGCAGCCAUCAUUUAAAGAAAGCGUAAUAGCUCACUGGUCAAGAGUUUUCGCGCUGAAAAUUUACCGGGGCUAAGUAUUAUACCGAAGUUGUGAAUUAUCUUGACAUUUUGUUAAGAUAGUGGUAGAGGAGCGUUCUGAAUGCACUGAAGCCGGAUCUGUGAGGACCGGUGGAGCGUUCAGAAGUGAGAAUGCAGGCACAAGUAGCAAAAAUCCCGAUGAAAGUUCGGGACGCCGAAAACCCAAGGUUUCCAGGGCAACGAGAAUCGUCCCUGGGUUAGUCGAUCCUAAGGCCAGGCCGAAAGGCGUAACCGAUGGAAGAGCAGAUUAAUAUUUCUGCACUUGUUAUUGUUUGUUAUUAUAUGCACAUCAUAAUGAUUCGAGCGUUCUUUGGCUAUGGACGUUUCGCAAGAUGAAGAUAGAGCCCUCGGGUAAUGUCAAUUCGAGUUUAAGUGGUGUCUAGAAAAGUAUAAUAACGUUAGGCAAUAGCAAAUCGUACCACAAACCGACUCAGGUGGGUAGGUCGAGAAGACUAAGGCGCACGAGAGAAACAUGGUUAAGGAACUCGGCAAACUAGCGACCGUAACUUCGGGAUAAGGUCUGCCCUAUUUAUUUAGGGCCGCAGCUAAAGACUCCAUGCAACUGUUUACCAAAAACACAGCUCCCUGCAAAAGCGUAAGCUGAAGUAUAGGGGGCGAUGCCUGGCCAGUGUCAGAACGUUAAGGGGAGAGGUUAUCCUUCGGGAGAAGCUUUGAUCUGAAGCGCUGAUGAACGCCGGCGGUAACUAUAACCGUCCUAAGGUAGCGAAAUUCCUUGUCGGGUAAGUUCCGACCCGCACGAAUGGCAUAAUGAUGUGGAGACUGUCUUAACCAUGUACUCGGCGAAAAUUCAGGUGUCGUGAAGAUGCGACAUACCUGCAGUUAGACGAAAAGACCCCAUGAAGCUUUACUAUAACUUGAU